This 2447-nucleotide ribosomal RNA is filed under the name Campylobacter jejuni. RNAcentral describes it as "partial 23S ribosomal RNA". It matches the Rfam family "Bacterial large subunit ribosomal RNA", at positions 1 to 2303 of the family's 2925-position model. The record is from RNAcentral. Lineage: Bacteria; Pseudomonadati; Campylobacterota; Epsilonproteobacteria; Campylobacterales; Campylobacteraceae.
AGGUAAGCUACUAAGAGCGAAUGGUGGAUGCCUUGACUGGUAAAGGCGAUGAAGGACGUACUAGACUGCGAUAAGCUACGGGGAGCUGUCAAGAAGCUUUGAUCCGUAGAUUUCCGAAUGGGGCAACCCAAUGUAUAGAGAUAUACAUUACCUAUAUAGGAGCGAACGAGGGGAAUUGAAACAUCUUAGUACCCUCAGGAAAAGAAAUCAAUAGAGAUUGCGUCAGUAGCGGCGAGCGAAAGCGCAAGAGGGCAAACCCAGUGCUUGCACUGGGGGUUGUAGGACUGCAAUGUGCAAGAGCUGAGUUUAGCAGAACAUUCUGGAAAGUAUAGCCAUAGAGGGUGAUAGUCCCGUAUGCGAAAAACAAAGCUUAGCUAGCAGUAUCCUGAGUAGGGCGGGACACGAGGAAUCCUGUCUGAAUCCGGGUCGACCACGAUCCAACCCUAAAUACUAAUACCAGAUCGAUAGUGCACAAGUACCGUGAGGGAAAGGUGAAAAGAACUGAGGUGAUCAGAGUGAAAUAGAACCUGAAACCAUUUGCUUACAAUCAUUCAGAGCACUAUGUAGCAAUACAGUGUGAUGGACUGCCUUUUGCAUAAUGAGCCUGCGAGUUGUGGUGUCUGGCAAGGUUAAGCAAACGCGAAGCCGUAGCGAAAGCGAGUCUGAAUAGGGCGCUUAGUCAGAUGCUGCAGACCCGAAACGAAGUGAUCUAUCCAUGAGCAAGUUGAAGCUAGUGUAAGAACUAGUGGAGGACUGAACCCAUAGGCGUUGAAAAGCCCCGGGAUGACUUGUGGAUAGGGGUGAAAGGCCAAUCAAACUUCGUGAUAGCUGGUUCUCUCCGAAAUAUAUUUAGGUAUAGCGUUGUGUCGUAAUAUAAGGGGGUAGAGCACUGAAUGGGCUAGGGCAUACACCAAUGUACCAAACCCUAUCAAACUCCGAAUACCUUAUAUGUAAUCACAGCAGUCAGGCGGCGAGUGAUAAAAUCCGUCGUCAAGAGGGAAACAACCCAGACUACCAGCUAAGGUCCCUAAAUCUUACUUAAGUGGAAAACGAUGUGAAGUUACUUAAACAACCAGGAGGUUGGCUUAGAAGCAGCCAUCCUUUAAAGAAAGCGUAAUAGCUCACUGGUCUAGUGAUUUUGCGCGGAAAAUAUAACGGGGCUAAAGUAAGUACCGAAGCUGUAGACUUGCACACAACUUAGAUUAUUUAAGUUUAGAAUAUGAGAAACUAAGUUAUAUGUUUAGUUAUAUUUUUACUGAUUUUUAUAGAGUAAAGAUAGAAAUAAAACUUAGUAAAAUCAGUAAAAAUAUUCUUAGGCUAAAGUUAAGUAGUUUAAGUUGUGUGCAAGUGGUAGGAGAGCGUUCUAUUUGCGUCGAAGGUAUACCGGUAAGGAGUGCUGGAGCGAAUAGAAGUGAGCAUGCAGGCAUGAGUAGCGAUAAUUAAUGUGAGAAUCAUUAACGCCGUAAACCCAAGGUUUCCUACGCGAUGCUCGUCAUCGUAGGGUUAGUCGGGUCCUAAGUCGAGUCCGAAAGGGGUAGACGAUGGCAAAUUGGUUAAUAUUCCAAUACCAACAUUAGUGUGCGAUGGAAGGACGCUUAGGGCUAAGGGGGCUAGCGGAUGGAAGUGCUAGUCUAAGGUUGUAGGAGGUUAUACAGGCAAAUCCGUAUAACAAUACUCCGAGAACUGAAAGGCUUUUUGAAGUCUUCGGAUGGAUAGAAGAACCCCUGAUGCCGUCGAGCCAAGAAAAGUUUCUAAGUUUAGCUAAUGUUGCCCGUACCGUAAACCGACACAGGUGGGUGGGAUGAGUAUUCUAAGGCGCGUGGAAGAACUCUCUUUAAGGAACUCUGCAAAAUAGCACCGUAUCUUCGGUAUAAGGUGUGGUUAGCUUCGUACUAGGAUUUACUCCGAAAGCGAAGAAACUUACAACAAAGAGUCCCUCCCGACUGUUUACCAAAAACACAGCACUCUGCUAACUCGUAAGAGGAUGUAUAGGGUGUGACGCCUGCCCGGUGCUCGAAGGUUAAUUGAUGGGGUUAGCAUUAGCGAAGCUCUUGAUCGAAGCCCGAGUAAACGGCGGCCGUAACUAUAACGGUCCUAAGGUAGCGAAAUUCCUUGUCGGUUAAAUACCGACCUGCAUGAAUGGCGUAACGAGAUGGGAGCUGUCUCAAAGAGGGAUCCAGUGAAAUUGUAGUGGAGGUGAAAAUUCCUCCUACCCGCGGCAAGACGGAAAGACCCCGUGGACCUUUACUACAGCUUGACACUGCUAUUUGGAUAAGAAUGUGCAGGAUAGGUGGGAGGCUUUGAGUAUAUGACGCCAGUUGUAUAUGAGCCAUUGUUGAGAUACCACUCUUUCUUAUUUGGGUAGCUAACCAGCUUGAGUUAUCCUCAAGUGGGACAAUGUCUGGUGGGUAGUUUGACUGGGGCGGUCGCCUCCCAAAUAAUAACGG